CCUACGGGUGGCAGCAGUGAGGAAUCUUGGUCAAUGGGCGAGAGCCUGACCCAGCCACGCCGCGUGAGGGAGUACUGCCCUAUGGGUUGUAAACCUCUUUUGUCGGGGAGCAAAAGCCGGACGUGUCCGGCUGUGCGAGUACCCGUAGAAAAAGCAUCGGCUAACUCCGUGCCAGCAGCCGCGGUAAUACGGAGGAUGCGAGCGUUAUCCGGAUUUAUUGGGUUUAAGGGGUGCGCAGGCGGAUUUUUAAGUCAGCGGUCAAAUCGUGGGGCUCAACCCCAUCCAGCCGUUGAAACUGGGGGACUAGAGUGUGCGAGAGGUAUGCGGAAUGCGAGGUGUAGCGGUGAAAUGCAUAGAGAUCACGCAGAACCCCGAUUGCGAAGGCAGCAUACCGGUGCACAACUGACGCUCAGGCACGAAAGCGUGGGUAUCGAACAGGAUUAGAUACCCCAGUAGUC
This 458-nucleotide ribosomal RNA is filed under the name uncultured bacterium. RNAcentral describes it as "partial 16S ribosomal RNA". It matches the Rfam family "Bacterial small subunit ribosomal RNA", at positions 338 to 795 of the family's 1533-position model. The record is from RNAcentral.